CACUCCGUCACACGUCACGUCACGUCACGUGGACUCGUCCACGAGAGGUAUGGUCGGCAUACCGGAAUUUUUACGAAUCCCCGUUUUAGUCGGAAAUCCUAUUCUUUCACGGCCGAGAUAAAUCGGAGGAUCGCGACCACGAGUGACGAGCGAUCGAAAAUUUGUUCGAGUAUCGCAUAUGACGUUCUCAUUUGUCAUAUUAUUCGCAGGGAUCGACGUACCUGCCGAUCCGCAAGGCACACCCCUGGAUUCAGCGCGGAUGGACUCGUCCACCCGGCUUCCCCUACCGUGCAGAUUCACAGCUCUUGCCAUAUAUGGGCAUAAAACGAGAGCGACGCGGUGAUUGGUCCGCCAACCGGCUAGCGGCUAGAUUCUCCAAAUGCCGCUUCAAAUCGUACGAUAGAGAGAGCAUAAUGUCUCUUGGAAGUAUACACUAGGCGUAAGGGUUUGUUCGCGGGCUACCUGCCUGCGUGAUUUCGCGACAUCGUACAUUAUCGACGAUGACGUAGGAUUUCCAACAUUUUAUAUGGCGUACUUUAAUUCUUAAAGAUAUUCGAGAUUUAUACAGAGUCGAACAGGAGCGAUCGCUAAAGCUAUUCGAUAAUUUCUCGACGAAUGGUUAUCUCUCUCGGAGAUACGCGAAAAAGUGGAUUGGUACGGUUUAGAUAGCGUCGAAGGAGGCCAUCACAGGAGGAUCGACCCAGAAGAAAACCUGCUUUCAUCGUGACACCUGUCUUCCUCGUUACAUAUACAGAUUAAUAUAACGCUAAACAAUAGACGAAACGAGAGACUCAUUUCGUUUCCCGCAUUGCAAAUCGUCGAGGAGAAAUUGGCCGCGCUAACAAAGUCACUGACUUGAUGGCUUGGUUUAAUUGACCCGAGGCGACGGCGAGGUGUUUUCACGGCUGCAGAAAUCAAGGCCACUGCACGCACACGUCUCACGAAGUUGAACGUGUAGCGCGUCGCGUGAACGCGAGCAUUUCUAUCUUCUCUGCGAGCCGUUCUGAGAAUAAAUCACAAACAAGGGGCCUUUCGGAGUCAAAUCAAUUCCCGCGCCGUCAAAGAACCAAGUUUUAACUAUAUCAUUGUUUCAUCUGUAUCAUUUUUAGACAUAUACAAUAUAAUAUGUAAGGAUUCUCGUAGUAUCUAUCUCUAUCGCGGUCUAACGAUAAUAAAGUAUCAAGAAAGGCGACAUCUCCGGUUGAUUUCAAGUCCGGGAUAUAAUACAGAGUUUCCCCUUCCUGUGGCAGGAUGCCAUGCCAAGGCAAUAUCCUCCGGAUGUUGCCUCAUCAAAACAUUUUCGCGCAACGCGAUUGGAGCGCAAUUGGAGCGAUUAGCUUGCUUAACGAGAGGAUCGGUGUGUUCACCUUUACAUAUCGAGCGCAACAUGCAUAACGACAUCAAAUACAUAUUCCGUCGAUACGAUCACGCUGUCAAUUGCUGUCGUAGAGAAAGAUGGUAUAUAUAUAUAACAUACAUAUAUGUAUCACACACUCUUACAUAUAAUUUAACUUGAAACAUAUGCAUGUAACUGUGGCGUAUAGUUGCGAUACUUUUUUAAUAGUUUUCCUUCGUCGCGUGCACGAAGAAAUUACAUGCUCGACGCUAUUCAACACUAAUACUCUAUAUCUAGCCAAAUAAAGAGCCCGUUUCAAUAUCUCUCCAUAUAUGCGAUUAUGUAUGUCAGGGUUUCCGUAUGAAUUGCUUUUUUGGACAAAAUUGUUACGCUAUAUAGGAAUACUAUAAAAUGACGAAUCGUAAGAUAAAUAUAUGUAUUUAUCGAGGCACCACAUCGCGCUGAUUAAAAUCAUUUAUUCCGAGAGAUGGAUACAUGAGAAAAAUAUGCCGAUUUGUAAAGCGCAGCUUACAUUUAAAUUCGAUAAAAAGUGCGAAUCUAUUUUCUAUUCCAAGUUCUUAUACGAGAAUAUUCGUCAUUAGCGUGAUUAAAUAUGAGAUCGCGACUAAUAUAUUUUAUAAUAAAUGGAAACAAAUUUGAGACGACGCAUUGUAUUAUUCACAAACAUUA
This is a long non-coding RNA of Formica exsecta, 2026 nucleotides long. RefSeq lists it as uncharacterized. The transcript has 6 exons. The record is from RefSeq and is a predicted model, not a curated record. Lineage: Eukaryota; Metazoa; Arthropoda; Insecta; Hymenoptera; Formicidae.